This 119-nucleotide ribosomal RNA is filed under the name Pteropus alecto (black flying fox). Lineage: Eukaryota; Metazoa; Chordata; Mammalia; Chiroptera; Pteropodidae. The record is from RNAcentral.
GUCUACGGCCAUGCUACCCUGAACAAGCUCAAUCCCGCUGAUAUCGGAAGCUAAGCAGGGGCGGGCCUGGUUAGUAUUUAGAUGGGAGACCACCUAGGAUAGACCAGGUGCUGUAGGUG